Antechinus flavipes (yellow-footed antechinus) is the source of this 3977-nucleotide long non-coding RNA. RefSeq lists it as uncharacterized. The record is from RefSeq and is a predicted model, not a curated record. NCBI's taxonomy places the organism in Eukaryota, Metazoa, Chordata, Mammalia, Dasyuromorphia, Dasyuridae. The transcript is spliced from 3 exons.
GCUGGAAGUGGAAAGUAAGGAAGGUGCGUGAGGGGCGGAGGCGGGGGCGGGGACUGAAGGGGCGGGGCAUUGAAUGGGAGGGGUGGCUAGAAGGGUGAGCCCGCGCGUGCGCGAAAACCAAACUGAGAAGAAGAUAGCUGGUGUUCCGCGAGCUCUCGAAGAGGACAAGCUAGGAGCUAGCAGGACUUUUAAAGAAAUUUUGGAGGUGUCAUGAACGGACAUUUAAGAGCCUAUCAAGUGCUAAGUAUGAAGAUAAAAAUAAAGGGAAAGGGCAUUCCCUGCCUCAAUGAGCUUCAUGUCUGAGGAAAACAACAUGCAAAUAAACAAAACUAGACAGGAUCCAUUGGAGGUAUCCAGAGGAAAGGAUCUGAAGGAAGCCAAAGAAGAUAGGAGUUGGAAAUGAGUAAGGAGAAUGUUCUAGAGUGGGGAACUACUGAAAAUUCCUUGAGUCGGAUCGAAAAUCCAAUGUCACUGGAUUAUGGAGUGUAUGGCAACUGAGUGGAGGGUGUAAUUGAGUGGGAAUAAAUCUCUGGUAGAAGACCACAAGCAGACUACCAACAUAUUUCAAGCCUGAGAUUGCUGCCAGCCAUCAGGACUCUACUUCCUUCAGUCUUCAAUUCUGCAUUCCACUGAGUAUCCCUGCCUCACGUCAUUGACUAAGAGGGAAAGGAGGCUGCUCACCCAGAGCCAGAGACCAUGGAGAAAACUACUCCAUGGGUGCCUGUCCCUGUUCAGGGUGCACACAAGACAUCUCCCACAAAGACCCUAUCCCGGAAAGCCCCCAAAAUGUGAGGGAUGUAGAAGACCCUUACCCAAAAUGACUACUCAGAGGUCACUCAGUAGAAGGCAGAAAAGUUGUUUAUUAAAAACCUCUGGAGAAUGAGCUGUCCCAUUGCGCUGUAAGAAAGAGAAAGCUCACAGUAGGAGGGCUAAAGAAGUAGUAAAGAUAAAUAGCUUUUAUACAAGAAAUUACAUCACAAGUAAGAGAGCAUUGAGAAGGGGAGGGGGAGGCAUCUAAUUGGUUGUUGUUAUUUGGGGAGAUUGGAAUGGAAGGUUUCUGUUUCCCCAAAAUCUCCUGAUUUCUAAGAAACAGAAAAUCAGGCCUUCAGGUUUAAUCAAGCAGAUAGUGGUCAAGCUAAUAGACUAAAUAUCGAUAAAUGUCAAAUACCAAUAAUUGUCAUCAGCUCAGGUUAAGGAAAUAUGUUUAUAGCUGGCCAAGGCUCAAGUAAAUAUGAGCUUGCAUAUAUUAUACAGGUCAUAGGGGAAACACAGAAAUAAUGAAAAUAAAAUACAGAAAAAAGAAUUCAUACAUUCCUGUAAGUUCUUCACCUUAUCUUUCUAUUCCCCAUAGUGUAAAUGUGUAUAUAUUUCACAUAUAUACAUGCAUACACACACACACACACACACACACACACAUACACAUAAGCAUACAAAACAAACAUCAACUUUUAGCCAUGUGUAAGGAAGGAAGGAACAAGGGAAAAGAAAAAAUAGGUUUCAAUUUGGAAUAUGAGUCCAUCUUUUCUCUGUUUGAAAGUGGGUAACAUUUCAGCAUGAGUCCUUCGGAAUUGUGUGUUGAUCAGUUACUAAGCCUUUCAAAUGUAAUUAUCUUCACAGCUCACUUCAUUUUGGAAGUUCAUAGAACUCCUCUCAGAUUUUUCUGAAACCAUCUCCUUCAUCAAUCAUAAACCAAAACUUCUUCAAUCAUUCUCCAAACAUAAAAAGAGCUGCUAUGAAUAUUUUUGUACAUAUGAAUCUUUUCCCCUUUCUUUGAGAUAUAGGCCUAGUAGUGUCAUUUUGACCUUAGUAGGGUCAAAAUAUAUGCACUUUUAUAAUAAAUAAAUAACAAAUAUAAUAAAUAGUAGUGGCAUUGACCCUAGUAAGAUCAAAAUAUAUAAUUAUAAUAAAUACCCUUUUGGACAUAAGGCUAUUUAUUAUAUCAUAUGAUAUUACAUAUGAAAUAAAAGUAUGCAUAUAUUUUCCAAAUAGGUCUCCAGAAUAGCAGGACCAGUUCUUAGCUCCACCAACAGUGCAUUAGUACACCUAUUUUUCUUUCAGCAUCUGUUAUUUUCCCUUUUUGUCAGAUUAGCAAGUCUGAUAUGCAUCAGGUGAUACCUCAGACUUAUUUUAAUUUGCAUUUCUCUUAAUGAUUUAGAGUAUUUUUUCAUGCAGCAAUUGAUAACUUGGAUUUUUUCCUCUGAAUUGCCUUUUAUCUUUUAAUCAUUUUAUCAGUUGGGGAAUGGCUCUUUUUCUUGUAAAUUUGACUCAGUUCUAUAUAUAUUUCAGAAGAAAAACCUUUGUUAGAACAGUUUACUACAAAAAUGUUUUUCCCAGUUUCUGUUUUUUUUUUUUCCCUAAUUUUAGCUUUAUUUUAUUUGUACAAAUGCUUUUUAUUUUUAUGUAAUCAAUAUUGUUCAUUUUAUCUCCCAUGAACCUCUUUAUUUUUUGUUUGGUCAUGAACUCUAACCACAGAUCUAAUAGAUAAAUUCUUCCAUGAACCACUAAUUUGCAUAUGAUGUUGCCUGUUUUAUCUAAAUCAUAUACCCAUUUUGAGCUUUUCUUGGUAUAUGGUAUAAGUUAUUGUUCUGUGCCUAGUUUCUACCACACUACAAUUUUCUCAACAGUUUUUGUUGAGUAAUGGAUUCUUGUCCUAAUAGCUUGGAUCUUUGAACUUAGCAAACACUGUGCUGAUUUGCUUCUAUAUAUUAUGUGCCUAAUCUGUUCCACUGUUCAAUCUCUCUAACUUCAUACACAGUACCAAAUUGUGUUGACAGUUACAGCUUGAUACUAUAGUUUUGUGCACCUCAUCACUUCCCCCCAAAAGAGCUGUUUACCUCAGUUUGAGAUCUGAUAUUGCUAGGACUCCUUCCCAUUUUUUUGUCUUUGAUUAUCUUGAUGUUCCUGACUUUGUAUUUUUCCUGAAGAAUUUUGUUACCUUUUUUUUUUCUAAAGCACUAUAUAAGGUAAUUCUUUGGAAGUUUGGUAUGACAAUGGAUAAGUAAUUUAAUAAAUAUUGUCAUUUUUAUCAUUUAGUUUGGUAUACAGCUGAGCAAUUACUAUCUCUAUAAUUAUUUAGGUCUUUAUAUGAAGAGUGUGUUUUAAUUGUAUUCCGAAUUCCAGUGUGAAGAUUAGAAGGUAUGCUCCCAAGUAUUUUAUACUGUCUGUGUUUAUUUUUAUUAGAAUUUUUCUAACUCUUCCUGCUGAAUUUUCUUAGUAAUAUGUAGAGUUACAGUCCUUCACUGUUAUAACUACUUUCUAAUUUUAAUUAAUUUUACUUUUCUUUAAGAAUUUUGACGCUUGUGUUACUACUGGCCUUAUAUCCCAAAGAGAUAUAAAGAAGGGAAAGGGACCUAUAUGUGCCAAAAUGUUUGUGGCAACCCUUUUUGUAAUGGCUAGAAACUGGAAAACGAAUGGAUGCCAUCAAUUGGAGAAUGAUUGGGUAAACUGUAGUAUAUGAAUGUUAUGGGAUAUUAUUGUUCUGUAAGAAAUGACCAGCAGGAUGAACAUAGAGAGGGUUGGAAAGACUUACAUGAACUGAUGCUGAGUGAAAUGAGCAGAACCAGAUCAUUAUACACAUCAACAACAAUACUAUAUGAGGAUAUAUUCUGAUGGAAGUGGGUAUCUUCGACAAGGAGAAGAUCUAAUUAAGUUCCAAUUGACCAAUGAUGGACAUAAUCAGCUACACCCAAAGAAGGAACACUGGGAAAUGAAUGUGGUUUUCCCAGUUAUUUUUUUUCCCAGGUUAUUUUUACCUUCUGAAUCCAAUUCUUCUUUUGCAACAAGAGAACUGUACAGUUUUGCACACAUAUAUUGUAUCUAGGAUAUACUAUAACAUAUUUAACAGGUAUAGUUAAUCUAGAGGAGGGGAUGGAGGGAGGGAAGGGAAAAGUCGGAACAGGAGUGCAAGGGAUAAUGUUGUAAAAAAUUACCCAUACAUAUGUUCUGUCAAUAAAAAGUUAUAAUUUUUUUAUAAAGAA